RNAcentral lists this ribosomal RNA (590 nucleotides) under Vezdaea leprosa. RNAcentral's name for it is "SSU rRNA". It matches the Rfam family "Bacterial small subunit ribosomal RNA", at positions 426 to 1200 of the family's 1533-position model. The record is from RNAcentral. Lineage: Eukaryota; Fungi; Ascomycota; Vezdaeales; Vezdaeaceae.
UAAAGUUCUAAAUAGAGUUAGAUAAUGACUAUCUCUAUUUAUUUGUCUUGACCAAAUCAUGUGCCAGCAGUCGCGGUAAGACAUGGAAGACUAGUGUUAUUCAUCUUAAAUGGGUUUAAAGGGUACUUAGACGGCUGUUAAUCGAAAUAAAAUAGCUAGAGUUUUGUAGAUGAAAGAAUUUAAAAAGUAGUGAUGCAAUAUUAUGAUAAUUUAAGGACUGGUAAAGGUGAAGACAAUCUUCAAAUAAAAACUGACGUUCAGGGACGAAGGCCUAGGUAUCGAUAAGGAUUAGAUACCCUAAUAGUCUGGGCAGUAAACUAUGAGUGCCAUAUGUUACAUUUAUACGAAUGUAUAAAUGAAAGUGUAAGCAUUCCACCUUAAGAGUAACGUGGCAACGCAGAAAUUGAAAUCAUUAGACCGCUUUUGAAACCUGUAGUGAAGUAUGUUAUUUAAUUCGAUGAUCCUCGAAGAAUCUUACCACAAUUUGAAUACAAGUGCUGCAUGGCUGUCUUAAGUUGAUGUUGUGAAAUUUAAUCAACGUAAACCCGUAUUUUAGUUCUCUAAAGGGACUAAGACAAGUCAAUAUGGCC